GUGCUCAUUUCAGCAGCACAUUCUCUAAAAUUGGAACCAUACAGAGAAGAUUAGUGUGGCCCCUGUGCAAGGGUGACAUGUACAUUUGUGAAGCAUUGUGUUUAUCU
RNAcentral lists this small nuclear RNA (107 nucleotides) under Castor canadensis (American beaver). Lineage: Eukaryota; Metazoa; Chordata; Mammalia; Rodentia; Castoridae. The record is from RNAcentral.